RNAcentral lists this ribosomal RNA (497 nucleotides) under uncultured bacterium. RNAcentral describes it as "partial 16S ribosomal RNA". It matches the Rfam family "Bacterial small subunit ribosomal RNA", at positions 28 to 507 of the family's 1533-position model. The record is from RNAcentral.
GACGAACGCUGGCGGCGUGCCUAAUACAUGCAAGUAGAACGCUGAAGCGAGGAGCUUGCUCUUCUUGGAUGAGUUGCGAACGGGUGAGUAACGCGUAGGUAACCUGCCUUGUAGCGGGGGAUAACUAUUGGAAACGAUAGCUAAUACCGCAUAACAAUGGAUGACACAUGUCAUUUAUUUGAAAGGGGCAAUUGCUCCACUACAAGAUGGACCUGCGUUGUAUUAGCUAGUAGGUGAGGUAAUGGCUCACCUAGGCGACGAUACAUAGCCGACCUGAGAGGGUGAUCGGCCACACUGGGACGGAGACACGGCCCAGACUCCUACGGGAGGCAGCAGUAGGGAAUCUUCGGCAAUGGGGGCAACCCUGACCGAGCAACGCCGCGUGAGUGAAGAAGGGUUUCGGAUCGUAAAGCUCUGUUGUAAGUCAAGAACGGGUGUGAGAGUGGAAAGUUCACACUGUGACGGUAGCUUACCAGAAAGGGACGGCUAACUACGUG